GCGGAUAUGGCGGAACUGGCAGACGCGCUAGUUUCAGGUACUAGUGAGGGUUCCCUCGUACAGGUUCAAGUCCUGCUAUCCGCACCA
Molecule: transfer RNA, 87 nt
Filed under: Clostridiales bacterium
Lineage: Bacteria; Bacillati; Bacillota; Clostridia; Eubacteriales
Description: tRNA-Leu
Rfam family: tRNA
About the family: Transfer RNA (tRNA) molecules are approximately 80 nucleotides in length. Their secondary structure includes four short double-helical elements and three loops (D, anti-codon, and T loops).
Source: RNAcentral